ACAACAUUUGGACCGUCGCGCGUCAGUUUACCGAGCAAAUAACACCCGCUCUGUGGAAGAUCUUCCCUUUGUCGU
Molecule: microRNA precursor, 75 nt
Filed under: Bombyx mori (domestic silkworm)
Lineage: Eukaryota; Metazoa; Arthropoda; Insecta; Lepidoptera; Bombycidae
Description: mir-2774 microRNA precursor family
Rfam family: mir-2774 microRNA precursor family
Source: Rfam by way of RNAcentral